This is a small nucleolar RNA of Dipodomys ordii (Ord's kangaroo rat), 94 nucleotides long. Its record names the gene SNORD116. It matches the Rfam family "Small nucleolar RNA SNORD116". Rfam says of the family: HBII-85 is a member of the C/D class of snoRNAs, which contain the C (UGAUGA) and D (CUGA) box motifs. HBII-85 is encoded in a tandemly repeated array with another C/D snoRNA, HBII-52, in the Prader-Willi syndrome (PWS) region of chromosome 15. NCBI's taxonomy places the organism in Eukaryota, Metazoa, Chordata, Mammalia, Rodentia, Heteromyidae. The record is from Ensembl.
GGAUCGAUGAUGACUCCCCAAAAUAACAUUCCUUGGAAGCUGAACAAAAUGAGUGAAAACUCUAUAACCGUCGUUCUCAUCGUGACUGAGGUCC